This 326-nucleotide ribosomal RNA is filed under the name uncultured soil bacterium. Its description in RNAcentral is "bacterial SSU rRNA". It matches the Rfam family "Bacterial small subunit ribosomal RNA", at positions 26 to 351 of the family's 1533-position model. The record is from RNAcentral.
AGAUUGAACGCUGGCGGCAGGCCUAACACAUGCAAGUCGAGCGGCAGCACGGGUACUUGCACCUGGUGGCGAGCGGCGGACGGGUGAGUAAUGCCUAGGAAUCUGCCUGGUAGUGGGGGAUAACGCUCGGAAACGGACGCUAAUACCGCAUACGUCCUACGGGAGAAAGCAGGGGACCUUCGGGCCUUGCGCUAUCAGAUGAGCCUAGGUCGGAUUAGCUAGUUGGUGAGGUAAUGGCUCACCAAGGCGACGAUCCGUAACUGGUCUGAGAGGAUGAUCAGUCACACUGGAACUGAGACACGGUCCAGACUCCGUACGGGAGGCAG